GGAUGAGUGCCUGUGGGCAUGUAUGGGCUUCCAGUUGCCUCUGCAGGACUUGGGUGGGGGAGGAGGUACAGCCCCCCGGGUGCCCCCGUCCACUCCCCUUACCGUAACACCGACCUUCACCAGCCCUCCACUUCCUGGUGAAAAGCAGACCUGUGGCCUUGGGCGUCUGCAGCAAGGCCUCAGCUUGGGUCGCUUCUCUCCUGUCAGCGUGGGCCAGCGUGGGCUGCUGUGGCCCCGGCUGCUCCAGGUUGGGGGGAUUAAUUGGCCUGUUGCUGGAGGCAGGCAGAGGCUGGACGGCGGGUAGGCAGAGCAGGCGAGGGGGACCCAAGGCCUGAGCCCCUGUGUUUGCGGGGUGAGGGCAGUGUCCCUGGAGGGAGGGGGUGCUUCUGGCCCUAGGCGAGGGUCCCUGGUGAGCGCCUCUGCAGGGACCCAUCCACAGGGCAGCCCACAUUAGCAUUCUCUGCACAAGAGUUUGCAAAGGAAUGACUCACACUCUGGCUGACUAAUUUGAAAGUAAGCUGCUUUUGCUGCAAGAAGGUUCAGUGAAUCUUAAAAACUGCGUGAUGGAGAUUUUAUUCCUUGUUCUAGACCUUUCCUUCUGCCAGGAAGGUGGCUCUGCCUCGGUUUACGCCUUUGGUUUGCUCACCUGGGGAAGUGGUUGGGGGAUUGCGGGAAAACUGAGACUCCCAGGCUUGGCUUGCUUAGUGCUCACAGGUCGCAUGCCCUCGGCAAAUGACUGAACCUCACCGGACAGCAGGGCGCACCCACGGCACAACACACACAUUUGGCGGAAUGGGGACCCAAGCCCUGCUGAACCAGGAUGAGGACCUCCUCCCACACGGGGUGGUGGGCUUCACAGAGAGGAGGCGAGUUGCUCUGGAAGAGUCUCAAGCUGGGAAGUGGGAAAUCGCGUCUGAGCAUCCGUCACGAAGGGAGGGAGCCC
Molecule: long non-coding RNA, 943 nt
Filed under: Homo sapiens (human)
Lineage: Eukaryota; Metazoa; Chordata; Mammalia; Primates; Hominidae
Description: non-protein coding lnc-DLK1-1:1
Source: RNAcentral